AUAUAAGUGAAGUACUUCAACAGUUAAAAUUGAACUGAAAGACAGGCAGAAACUUUACUUCAACUAUCAUAAAGUUUAUUUAUAAUGAUAAAAAUAUUCAGUCUGCCAGAGCCAAGGCCAGUCAAUGGAAAGUAAAAGAGUAUUAGGGAUUAACCCAUCCAGGUGAUAUACAUGAUGAUUUUGGAAAUUGAUCAUUUAGGUCACCUAUUGCAAACUGGUGAAAAGAUGUCAAAGAUAUAAAUUCAACAUCCAUACCACUCUAUGUAUAUAUAUAUAUUAAAAUACACGUAAU
Non-coding RNA from Pelobates cultripes (western spadefoot toad), 292 nucleotides. The record is from the annotation of a GenBank genome assembly. Lineage: Eukaryota; Metazoa; Chordata; Amphibia; Anura; Pelobatidae.